RNAcentral lists this ribosomal RNA (450 nucleotides) under uncultured bacterium. Its description in RNAcentral is "partial 16S ribosomal RNA". It matches the Rfam family "Bacterial small subunit ribosomal RNA", at positions 354 to 796 of the family's 1533-position model. The record is from RNAcentral.
GUGGGGAAUAUUGGACAAUGGGCGAAAGCCUGAUCCAGCCAUGCCGCGUGUGUGAAGAAGGUCUUCGGAUUGUAAAGCACUUUAAGUUGGGAGGAAGGGCAGUAAGUUAAUACCUUGCUGUUUUGACGUUACCAACAGAAUAAGCACCGGCUAACUUCGUGCCAGCAGCCGCGGUAAUACGAAGGGUGCAAGCGUUAAUCGGAAUUACUGGGCGUAAAGCGCGCGUAGGUGGUUCAGCAAGUUGAAGGUGAAAUCCCCGGGCUCAACCUGGGAACUGCCUCCAAAACUACUGAGGUAGAGUACGGUAGAGGGUAGUGGAAUUUCCUGUGUAGCGGUGAAAUGCGUAGAUAUAGGAAGGAACACCAGUGGCGAAGGCGACUACCUGGACUGAUACUGACACUGAGGUGCGAAAGCGUGGGGAGCAAACAGGAUUAGAAACCCGAGUAGUCC